UUAAGAGCAUUAUCACAAAGCAACAAUGCGACCAUUACAGGAAAGAAAUCUGAAGUUAUGGGUUUAAUCAGAGAGACAUCACCGUCAGCUGUGAGGGAUUGUUGAGAGAAAAUAGUUGCGCCAGAGAAGAAAUUUUGGAGAGGAAAAACAGUUCGUGAAGGGAAAUAUUUUAAAGUCGUUUUUUUCAUGAACAGGCGAUUGUACAAUGAAUUCUGCUGCCUGUACAGGCCCUAUAUUGGCCACACACAUUAUAGGAGGGGUGGGGUAAUUUUUUUUUUAAAUAAUCUCCCCGCCACCCCCCCCCCCCCAACCCCCCCCCCGAGGGGGGACCCAGCACGUGAGGGUGUCUGUACAGCAUCAGGCAUUUUCCCUUGUACAAUUAUGUCCAAUCUGCCCUUAACUCAUUUAUCCUGGGAAUGUACAAGUUGUUUAUUACACUAUUUUUUCUCUAGAUAUAUAUACAUGUGAAGGUUGGAUGGAUCGGGUAGGUAGAUCCCUGUCUGUACUGUCUCAAUAGAUAACAAUUCAUAAAAAAUAAAAAUAAGAAAAUUGGAUAAUGAAAUUGCCACAAAUGGAAGCAUGAAAUGUGCCAACAAUGAAGCAUGACUCUGGAGCAGAAACCUGCCUUUGGGAUCGAGCUAGAUACACGACAUACAGAGCUAAAUUUUGUUUUUAUUUAAUAAAAUUAAUCAAGAAAAAAAUAGUGGCUAGUGGUCUACCUAGCCUGUCAAAAAAUGUGGGUCAUGCUAAGUCUCUAUCUUAACUGAGUCGACUAGCUUUUUAUCUGCAAUACGAACAUAUAAAUGCAUAUCUAAGAAGCUAAAAUGACCACUGUUUGUUCUAGAUGAAAUAUCAAUUAAUAGGUAUGUAACAAUCCAAAAUUUUCUAUGAGUUCGCUGAAUUUAUUUUUUAUUUGGUCAAUUUUAUAAAUUUCUCAAAAAUUUUAGUGAUUGUAAUAGAGUUAUUAGGUUUAAGAGCUGAUCAAUGAAACUUUUAUGAAACAAGUAAAAAAUUAGAAGAAUUACCUUAAAAGUUUAAAUAUUAAAAUAAGCUAUAAUUUUGGAGCUAGAACCUGCCUCCAUAAAUGUGCCAACAACUUGUAGCAUGGAAUUAGCAACAAUUUGGAUGGAGGAUCUGUCUAUAAUUCGAUGCAAGUGACCAGGCAAGGGUCAACCCCCCAUUCUAACCUUGACUUUAAAUCAAGAAAAUAAAAAAAAAAUGAAAAAAUAAAAAUUGUGACUAGUAGUCUAAUUUAGGAAUGACAAUCGGGCUCGUCAGCUCUGGCUACCCGUCGCUCGGCUCAAAAAAAGUUCGAGCCUGCCCAGCUCAAGACUAGGGAGAACCGCGCCAAGGUUGGAGCCGAGCCCCAUUUUGGGGUGCUGGGCAAAGCCCGAGCUGGCCCGUGUGGCUCGUCGGCUCGGGUUCACGAUCCCAUAUUUAAAAAAUAUAUAUUUUAAAGGCAGAAAGCAAAGGCUGGCUUCUUUUGAAAAAAAUAAUAAUAAUAAAUAAUAAUAAUAAUAAUCGAGCCUGCUCGGCUCGGAAAGGCCCGAGCCGAAAAGCUCGGGUCGAGCCUAAUUUUUUUGGCUCGCACCUUGAAUUUCAGCUUGCGAACCGACUUGAUUCGACUUGUUGACAUCCAUAGUCUAACCUAUCAAAAAAUGUGAAUAAUGGCGAGUCUCUAUCUUUAAGCCUCCAUUUGUCACCCAUUAUUUGACAAAAUAAAGAGUUUUGAAUAGGAUAUGUUGAAGAAUAUGUGGUUAAAAUGUAAAGAAAUUUUAUUGGUUUGUGUAUAAAAUAUUUUAUUGUGUGAAUAUAUGGUGAAAAAUAAUACCGUAGCAAAUAGUUUAAAAUUUUAAAGCCAUCAAACAUGUCCUAAAUCUCUCAUACAAAUAUGAAAAUGUAUGCGAUAUGCAAAUGUUUCCCAACAUGUUUUUAUCACGGAUGUCCUUAACCUAUGUGUGUGGUGCGCACUUGGUCUUUUCUAUUGAAAAAAAAAAAAAACCCUUAAUUUUAAUUACUAAAUUGUAUUUAGGUCCCUAACCUAGAGAUGACAUAAAAACCCAUUAAAAUCGAUUUUCGUGGAGCUUUGCCACAAAAGAGGCGUGGUAAAUUGGAGAGAACAGGUACAGAAAACAUGGUUCCCACCUCUUUAUAGUCCAUUUCAAAUUUGAGUUUUUUAUCAAACAAUAAAAAAAGAAUCACCUUCGUUUCCCAAAAAAAGGAAAAAAAAAAGUAAUAAUUUUUACAAACUAAAAAAAAUUGUGGGGCCCAAGAAUAAACCCACCCCACUCCACACCCUUCUUAGCCAAAUAUGGGGAUGGGACUAGGGUUGGGCGUGGGUUGGAUUGGGUCAGUUUUUGCCCCAACCCUAACCCAACCCAACAUAGUCGGUUUGGGCAAAAAUCAACCCAACCCAACCCGCAUAAACGUUGAAACCCAACCCAAUCAAGUGUCGGUCGGGUUGGGUUGGGUUGGUCGGUUUGAGCAAAUUGUAAUUUAUUACCAUAAGACGUUAAAACAUAACCGAUUCACGUUGUUUUACAUGACAUAUAGGUGAAAAAUCAACACAUAAUAUAGACACAGAAAACCAAGGCUUAUUGUGCCGAUUUGCUAGUGAAAAACUAACACAUUUUCUCGUACUACUAAUUUUAUGUGCAAUUGUUUUCUAGUCGAAGAGGUGAUCUUGCAGAAAUACUGAAUAUAGGUCAUUUGGGUAUCUUCUGCCACUCUAUACUUCUUAUACCUACAUGUGUUUUAAAAUACAUACUAGAUGCAACCAAUGUAGGUAUUUCCUGAGAUAUAUAACUAAGUAAAAUUAGUGAGAUAUACUUCUGCCACUCAUCUUGCAGAAACACUCUAGAAUGACAGUAACAAAGUAAAAUGCAUACAAGGACCUUACCUCCAAUAUUGCACCAGCACGAAAUGCAGCCCAUGUAGGUAUUUCCUGAGAUAUUUGUCGUAACAGCAGCAUGUCUUCAACAACAUUAGUACCAAAAAAAAAAAAAAUUAAAUACAAAUUAGUGAGACAAGCCUAAAGUUAAUAUGCAGUGAAUAAUGGCUAAAGUAUUGUGAAUUCAUCACAGGCCACAACAGAUUUUGAAUCUAUUAAUAAACCCAAAAAAUUAAAAAAACACAACGAUUAAUUAAUUGAUAAACUUUAAGAAAAAUAAUAAGACUAGACGAGCUCUCAAAUCUAACUAUUACAGGACCUGAAGGGUGAAGGCUAAGGCAGUUUAAGUUUCAAAUAUUGCAGCAGGCAGCAAUUUCGUGGACAAGGCAAUGGCUCAAGAGUCGAGCAAAAUAUGAGAAGUAGAGAUAAAAAUUACAGGAGAAGAUGUGUAGCACUGGAGUGUGAAGACAGGCAACUGGAAAACCAAAAUCUGCCAUUGAUGAUUUGAGAGAACAUGAAGUACGACGGCAGGAUGAGGAAGACGAGAGUGAGAAGUGAGAACUUUUAGGGCUUCUUUUCCCAUUUUAGGCGUUUUUC
Molecule: long non-coding RNA, 3487 nt
Filed under: Olea europaea (common olive)
Lineage: Eukaryota; Viridiplantae; Streptophyta; Magnoliopsida; Lamiales; Oleaceae
Description: long non-coding RNA (OEUR_LNC008429)
Source: RNAcentral